This is an RNA transcript of Sarcophilus harrisii (Tasmanian devil), 3937 nucleotides long. It is a transcript of the gene named RNA binding motif protein 44, with no coding region annotated. Lineage: Eukaryota; Metazoa; Chordata; Mammalia; Dasyuromorphia; Dasyuridae. The transcript has 16 exons. The record is from RefSeq and is a predicted model, not a curated record.
GCGGUCACCGCCACUUGACGAUUGGCGCUUACCUCAGCCAAUCGUGGGGUCGCGACUCCCUCCUGGCUACCAAUGGAGGGUCGCUCCAGGUCUAGGGGGCGUGGCCGACAGCCCACGCUUUCUAGCGGCCCAGAGCCGGGACGAAGGCGGCGGCGGGAAGUGGCGGCCGCGGCGGCGGCGGUCGCCGAGCAAGCUUCGCGGGCGCGGGCGCCGGCGCCGGAUGAACCAUCAAGUCCCAAGAGAAAACAGUUCUUCCUGGCCUCUCGUUAUUAUGAUGAAAAUGUCACUGGUGAAAGUCUGUUGACUAUUUCUCGUGAUCACUGCAAUUUCUUAGUCUUGGAGCACCUGGACAAAGACAACGUGAGCCUCUUGGACAAAGGAGAGAUGUCAGAGCUGUCCUUCUCGGGGAGCCCCCCAGCCUCUCUUGACAGAGCUCCCUAUCAGCUGAGUGAGCUCUCGAACAUAGCCGAUUACGCUCUCCUGAAUGAUACCUAUUCCAUCCAUAUCUCAGACUCAGAUUCUAAACUGAAAGAACAUUUGUCAUAUCUAAGUUCAGAGACAGAUCUCGAAAUGCAAAAAGAGGAGCAAUUUUUUGAUAUGUUGAAAGAUGAAAGCAAGAAUUCUAAUGUUUUGGAUGAUAUCUGCAGAAAUCUAGAUAGUGAUUGUAAGGACAUUAGUAGUAGUGAUAUUGAAAAGUGUGAUCUAGAUGAAGAUUCCCAGCAGGAAUAUCACAGUGCUGAAGAGCAAGAUUACUCAGGUUACCAUUUAGAUUUUGACCAAAUAAAGACACUGUGUACUCCCAAUUCAGAAGUCAUAGAGUUGGGAAAUUCUGAUUAUGAAAUUAAUGCUAAUGGUCUGGGACAGAAUCAUGUGAAGAAAUUGGAAGAAAGCACCUUUUUCUCCUACGAAACAACUCACAUCCAUACCCAAGAAGACGUGGCCGAGGCGCCCAAGCGUCAUGAUUACCUGUCUCUGACCGAGCAUCACGGCCAGAAGUACUGGAGGUGCCAAGAGCAAGAGGCGAGUUUCACCAACCAGAGCUUGUUGGACGGCGUCACCCGCUUGAGCAACACUGAGGAUGGGCAGGACGUGGCUCUUGGGCACGCGGCCCCCUCGCGCAGCGGCCCAGAGAAGGUGCCAAAGACCCUGAAAGCCGGCAUUUCCUCCAACAGGAGGAGGUCUCCGCGAACCGAAAAGAAGGAUGUCUGUGCGGAAGUGGGCGAGAAUAGCCUUCUGAAGGGCAUGGAAAAGCCCGCUUUGUUCCUGGAAAGAGCAUCAGCAGCAUCACGGCAGCCUGGCAAGUGUUUUCAGAGUUCUGCAGCUUAUGUCUUUGAUGAAUCGGACGUUUCUGCCUAUGACCAGUCGUGCUAUAAAUUCGUCCAGAGCACGGCCAAGCCGGACUUAGAUUUCCCCAUGACUCUGCCGAAGGUUCCAGCCAAGGAGAGCCAUUUGGCAGAAGGAGAUAGCCUGCCGGAAGCGGCCCGUGCAGGCGUCCUGAACAAAACGCACUUUAUCAGCGUGGAGUCGAAGCAUCCUCAGCACUCGGGGGCUGCAAACCGUGACUGCCUCGUGACCGUGAACCAGACGAUCGACGCCAGUUCAGAUUUCAGGGCCUGCUUCACGACGAGCCGGGCCACAAGCGCCAGGUCCUCGGUGGCCUCCAGGUCGAGCAAUACGGAGAUAACCAUGAUGAACAAGAUGCGGCCCAGCGAGUGGGCGCCCGAGAAGCAAAAGAGCAUCGCCUGCAACACGGACUGGUCCUCUCUGCAGGACUGGGCGGGGGAGGAGGGCCACCUGCCGGGGCCUGCGCCCAGAGGCCUAGACAAAGCCCUUCCGGCUGAGAAUUCAAAAGCUAAUGAUGAUUUGUUUAUUAAGGAUUACCUGGAACUGAAAAAUAAAUAUGAUAUGAAAGACUUAAAGAAAAACUCUGAGAGUCAGUUUCAACCUUCUAAAGAAGUGGAGAAGAAUUUUUCACCCAAAUGUUGUCAGAAAACAUUGCAGAGAGCUAUAAAAGCAGAGUUGCAGCUUUUAAGAGCCCAUUAUCAGAUGUGUCAUCAACAUUGUUGGAAAAUUUACAGACUUAUAAUGGAAGAAAAGGAAAGCUUUACUAGGAAUUGUGCAAGUGAUUUUGCUAAAACAGAAUUAGAAUCUACAUUACUGUCCCUUUUUGGAGAUCUGAAAUUUAAAUAUUUGAGUAUGAGAGAAAAAAUAAUAAAGGGAAUACCGUUGGACGAAUUGCCUCCCCUGUCUGUAGAGUCCAAAUUAUCAUCUUUCUUUUCCACUUUUAAUCCUUCCAAGAUAAUAAAGGAAGACUCUCAUAUCCUUUCAGCACCAAACUCGUCCCCUGAUGUUCCUGCUGCACACAGUGCUGACCUUGGUGCCGCCCACUUGAAAGGGACUCUCUCUCAAACCCUCCACACAUCCGAGAAUGUUCAUCCCAAACAAGAAGCAGCCUCCAAGAAUGACAGCAGAAAGACCCGGGAUCUGAAUGUCGGCUUCCGAAAUCUGAAACUGGAUGAUGAAAAUUACCCAAAACGUCAGGAAAAAAGUGAAGGCAAAGAAAACCUGAUGGGCACCAAGUGCUUGGAAAUAUUGAACCCUCAGAUGGAACCAGAGCAGAGGAGCUCCGAGGUCACAGCAGAGAAGAAGAUUUCCGAACCUCCCCAUAGGGAGCCGAACAAAAGCUAUCUCAUUCACGUCGGCAGCUUGGGCCCUUCAGUGUCCGAGACUGACCUAAUGUCUCAUUUCCAGAAGUAUCAAGUUUCUGAAGUUUCCAUUUGCACUUCUUCUCAUAACUACAGGUAUGCAUCUCUUGUUUUUAAAAAAGCCAACAAGGCAAAAAUGGCUGUGGAAGAAAUGAAUGGGAAAGAAAUCAAUGGGAAGUCAGUCAAUGUUCGUCUGGUCAAAACCCCCAUAGAAAACGUCCCACCCCUGUCCUUCAGGAACGAAAGCAGGCUUGCUCUCGGUGGUUCGGAGAAGACGCUGGACAGCAAAGGCUCCAGCUCGGCCCCUUUGACUUCUAAGAUAUCGGCUCACGUGCUGAGGCCUCCGGCACCCGAGCAAGAAAGUGUUUCUCUUUCAGCCGACCAGAAGAGUGGCAAAAAAGGUUUAAAACAGAAUAAACCCGUGAAGUUGUUACCUGAAACGCCUCUUCCCUACAUCCCUCCAAAUAUCUUGAAUCUGGGGAGCUUCACCAAACUUCUGAGGAAGCUUGAAGCUCUGCACCCCGACAUCAGCAGAGACACCAUCAUCGAUGCCCUCCAAGAGGUGAGGACCAAUAACAAGGGUUUUCUGAGCGGCCUCUCCCUGACCACCAUCGUCGAGAUGACGACCUCUGUCUUGAGAAACUCGGCCUUCAAGAAGGAGGAGAAGAAGUAUCGAGAGGAAAUAUUCAAAGUUGGAAUUCAUUAGACUUCUCUGUUUCUGCACAUGAGGUGAGCUGUCUCAGCGGGAUGUCUGAUACCUUUGCAAAACUCCCCCAGCCCUUUAUCACAGCCUUCUCUCCCAGGACAAUUCUCAUAAGAAAGUUUGAAGAUAAUUAAGAAAGCCCAUGCGAGUGAUGGGGCUGCCGGAGGCUGGCCCAGAGUUGCCAGCGAGUGCUCCGCUGCCUUCCUGUCCAGCUGGACUCAGAGCGGAUGCUCACUUUGCGCCUGGUGCGAUCCCAGCCACAGAACGCCUUCUUUAAAGCCCCGAGCCCUCCGGGGCUGCCAGGGCUCCAGGAGGCCAGUUCCAGCUAUAGGGCGGCCAGUGUAGACACAGGUUGUCCCGGCAUGUUUGCAGUCCCGAGGGCUCGAGGUGUGUUUGGGGUUGGUUUGGUUGCUUUGGGUUUUCAGGCACACUGCUGGGGCUCUGGGGCACUGUUGGAAGGUCACCGAAGAGUGUUGCAUUUAGUUUUCAGGUGUCAUUUGCUGCAUUAAAAGUAGACCUUGGUCAUCCA